Molecule: long non-coding RNA, 632 nt
Organism: Astyanax mexicanus (Mexican tetra)
Lineage: Eukaryota; Metazoa; Chordata; Actinopteri; Characiformes; Acestrorhamphidae
Exons: 4
Source: RefSeq, a predicted model, not a curated record
AAAAAAUAUCUGUUCUGAUUUCAACUUAAAAACACCUGUUCAAAGUUACUACAAUAUAUUAAUUAUAUGCAUUUGCUUAGUAGGGCUGCUGAGGGCUGGGGACCUGAGAUAAGGUGUAAUCAUUUACCCAUCAAAUCACCUAACAAGCAGGAUUUGGUAUCCGCAAAAUGGUUCGAGGUCCUCAGCCCUCGCCUCCCCCAGCACAGAGGAAAACUACCAAGGGCGGUACUCUCAUUAUAGGAGAUUCAAUUGUUAGACAUUUAAAAGUAUCUAAGAGUAAUGGCACAAUUUCAUGUCUUCCAGAUGCUUGCAUGCUGGUAGUCGGCAAGCGGCUCCCUGGGGCGCAUUGCCAAAGCAGGAACCCCGGCACCAUCGCCCUCCAUGUGGGGAUGAGCUUUCGGGAGCGACCGGCCCCGUUCCACAGAGACAGGCUUCUCUCUGUGAACAUCGAGGCGGUGCUACGCUGAGACUGACUGUCUCUACCCAGUCACACCAGCCAAGCUGCACUGUAGUGGUGUUAAGUGUCCAAGAAUGCUCUCAUCAGUGGAGGCACAGCUGGCUGCAAAAAACGUCUGUGUCUGCAUGUUUAUAUUAUGUGAAUUAAAAAUGGUUUUAUUAUUAAAAUAAUUGUA